RNAcentral lists this ribosomal RNA (450 nucleotides) under uncultured bacterium. RNAcentral's name for it is "partial 16S ribosomal RNA". It matches the Rfam family "Bacterial small subunit ribosomal RNA", at positions 354 to 796 of the family's 1533-position model. The record is from RNAcentral.
GUGGGGAAUCUUCCGCAAUGGACGAAAGUCUGACGGAGCAACGCCGCGUGAGUGAAGAAGGUUUUCGGAUCGUAAAGCUCUUUCGUUAGGGACGAACGUGCUCUUUGUAAAUAAUGAGGAGUAAUGACGGUACCUAAAUAAGAAGCCACGGCUAACUACGUGCCAGCAGCCGCGGUAAUACGUAGGUGGCAAGCGUUGUCCGGAAUUAUUGGGCGUAAAGCGCGCGCAGGCGGGAUAUCAAGUCUGUCUUAAAAGUGCGAGGCUCAACCUCGUGAGGGGACAGAAACUGGUAUUCUUGAGUGUCGGAGAGGAAAGUGGAAUUCCAAGUGUAGCGGUGAAAUGCGUAGAGAUUUGGAAGAACACCAGUGGCGAAGGCGACUUUCUGGACGAUGUCUGACGCUGAGGCGCGAAAGCUAGGGGAGCGAACGGGAUUAGAAACCCUUGUAGUCC